This 246-nucleotide ribosomal RNA is filed under the name uncultured bacterium. RNAcentral describes it as "partial 16S ribosomal RNA". It matches the Rfam family "Bacterial small subunit ribosomal RNA", at positions 87 to 334 of the family's 1533-position model. The record is from RNAcentral.
ACUGGCGACCGGCGCACGGGUGAGUAACACGUAUCCAACCUGCCGAUAACUCGGGGAUAGCCUUUCGAAAGAAAGAUUAAUACCCGAUGGUAUAAUCAGACCGCAUGGUUUGAUUAUUAAAGAAUUUCGGUUAUCGAUGGGGAUGCGUUCCAUUAGGCAGUUGGUGAGGUAGCGGCUCACCAAACCUUCGAUGGAUAGGGGUUCUGAGAGGAAGGUCCCCCACAUUGGAACUGAGACACGGUCCAA